GUCAGAUCAACAACAACGUGGGAUCGGGCUCAAACAUGGGUCAGCAGCACCCGUACCCCGCCCUGAGCCAGCUCGCUCACGCCUACGAACAGCAGCAUCAACAGCAGCAGCAGCAUCAUCAACAACAGCAGCAGCAGCAGCAGCAGCAGCAGCAGCAGCAGCAGCUUCAAAAUAAAGAUUUCAACAAAUACGCCUCCCUGAAGGCUGUGGCUGCCAAAUACAACGGAGAACUCUACACCAAGCGUCGACUGAUGGUGGAGCUGCCAUCAAAGGGUGGCCUUCCUCUCCAGCCAAUGGGCAACUCCAGACCCUCUAUGGGCAACAUGUCGUCGAUGACUCCUCCAAUGACCAACAAUCCCAUGGCUUCAAAUCCUAUGACCUCCAAUCCCAUGAACCCUACCAUCACUCAGAUGACUUCAAUGAACCCAAUGACGUCUAUGACACCCAUGACAUCUAUGACACCCAUGACAUCUAUGACACCCAUGACGUCAAUGACACACAUGACCUCAAUGACACACAUGACAUCCCUCACUCCGAUGUCCUCCAUGACCCCUAUGACUUCUCUGGGUCCACUGACUCCAGAGCCCGUUGCCACCUACGUUACAGAGAUGCCCAAUAUUUCCUCUAUGUCAACCCUGCAGAAAGAGCGGCACAUAGCAGGGGGAGGACUAGGUGGGGGACUUAAGUCAAAUGGCCAGAAACUCAAAGGCAGCCAUGGCCACGCUGCCCACAGCUCUCACAGUUCCCACACUCAUGCUCACAGCCAUAGUAGCAAGCCGCCAGGACUAGGGGCUACCUCCCUGGCACACAUGGUGGGGACCAUGCCAGGUGGCAUGUCCCUAGGCAUCUCCAGGCCCGCUGAGACCACCAUUGGCUCCAGCUCAGCUACAAUGGGCCGCCCAUUGGCAUACAGUUCCAACACAAUUGCAACUGGGCAUGGGAUGGGGCUUGGGCUGAAGGGCUGGGACGGUACUGAGACAGUGGGCCGCAGAAAGACCUACGGGCACAAGAGGCCUCAGUGUACCGUGCUGGAGCCGAACCAGCUCCAUGGCACCAGAGGCCAAAGCCACAGCCAACACUUCCUCCCCACGCAGCCCUACUUUGUGACCAACAGCAAGACAGAGGUGACUGUGUGAGUGAGGAGGAAAGGGAGAAAAAGAAAUAUAAAUGGAUGCCUACGGAGUGGUGGUACAAGUAAUCUCUAAGUUGAGACACCAAUUCCUGGGGUGGUCAAAAGGUUCAAAUCUGUGUGUGUAUGUUUGUGUCAAGGAGUUGAGGCUUGUUGGUGCGCUGGUGAAGGAAGUGGGAAAGUGACACUGUGUCCAAGUGUUCCUCAUUUCACAAACGGAGAGUUCACCAAUCAAAUCACUGAACAGACCUUUGUUGUCAAGAGGAUGGCAUAAAAGUUGGUGAUGUCUGUAACCAUAACAAAUUGCCUACAGAGCUGGGAUGUAUGUACACUUGUGGUGAUAUUCGAGUGUUGUCUCACGGAUAAUAUCUACCCUGUAAUGAUACAAUAUCUGAGCAUUACAGUGCGACUACACACAGACAAUGAAGUGGGAACCUGCUAAUAAAAUGGAUUGGUUUUCCAGUACGAACCCAACCUGAGAAGCAAUAUAAGGAUCAAAUGUACAGCACUAAAGCAUCUUGCGAAGACAUGCAGAGCAGAAAUAUUUGAGGGAAACAAAAUCGGGGCUUUUAUGAAGCUUUUCUGCGAUAGUAGAGUACAGUCAUGAUGAGCCAGUGAAGAAUAAUAAUAAUUCAGCCACAUCUUGAAAGGCAUGAUUGGUUUUUCCCAUUGUUCUAGCAGGAAAUAUAACUGAUUGAUUCUGUGUGCCAAAAAAUGUAAUCCAGUUUGCAGUUCUGUACCACCGUGUGUCCUCUAGAACACUGCGCACAUUUCACUCAUUAUACAUUUUGUAUGUCUGUAUGUGUGUGAGCGCAGAUAUUAAUUUGGUAAAGGAUCAUUGUCUCUGAGGAAGUCAAAAAUCAAACCAACAAGAAAACUUUUAUCUAUAGAGAUUAAAAUCCUACAAACCUGCCAUUCUUUCAAUGAUAAUUCUCUGCAAGUGUUGUGGUUUUUUUCCUCUGUGUAUUUAUUUCCUUAUUUUCUUGACAGCUGGUAGUUUUGUUUGCGACAGAGCUGGGAAGCAGGUCAAUGUUUGCUCAGGAUGUGCAUUAUUGGACCCAAUUGACUUAAUCCAUCAAGGUGGAAAUGUGGAAAUAUGAACCCUUCUAGCUGCCCCACACUGCCCCAUCCUUAAAGCUCAUUCAGCUGUGCCAAGGCAGAUGCUGGAACACUAUGUAAGCAGCCAGGCCAGGGGAAACAGUUGGUAAGCAAAAAACAGAAAAAAAGGGGAAAACUAAUCCAACACCGUAAAAGCCAAAAUAAACCAGACAGAAAGCGGGGAAUUGGUUGCGCCGGUUGGGUCACGGUUGAUAGGGUCAGAGGCACAGAUGCGUGGGUUCAGGAGGCAGUCAUGUCUGACAUUUUUCAUCAGACGAUUCAGCCAGACAAAAAAAAUACCGCAGCGGAGACAAAAGGACACAGGUUGUCUGCAGGCUCGACACCACUAGUGACAGAACAUGUAGAAGAUAUUCAAAGACAAUUUGUGUUCAUCGUUUACUACAAAGAUACAGAUUUUCUGAAUUUUUAAAUAAUUUUACGUAAUUGAUGACGAAAUGUAGUAUGAAGUUAUUGGCUCCACAGACUAAGAAAAAGAGGGUCAGUUUUUCCUUUGUGCAAACAACUGUAAGUACAGUUUUAAGCCUUUCAUUGGCUUGUUUACCUUACUUUAGAACAACCAACCAGCUUUAUUUCUGUUUUUGUGGUGGAGUUUGACCUUUACAGUUUUUCUGGUAUUUUCAGUGGGAUAACAGCACAAGGUAUCAUGGACAGGGGUAUAAAACAAAUCAUUGUUCAAUGGUAUCAGCUCCAAAAAUAAAGGUAUAACACUGCAAACGUGAAUAGUGGCUUGAUCACUCCUGAAUCUUAGGCUGCAAACUUUUUUCAGGCAUUCCAUGCAAAUGUCUCACUAUAUAAAAUAUGUUAUAUAUCAAAUAAAUUGGCAGAGACACAUGGAUAGUUUCAGCUGGGCCACUUUCUGGUGUGACCAGGCCUUUAGUAAGUCCACCUUCACUAGUCAUUUAGAAAGAGACUAGUGACCACCUUCAGCUCUUACUACCAACCUCGAAAACUGCAAAAUGAGGUCCAAAUUUAGGUCUGACCACUCAGUGGGAACUCAUUGCUCCAAACCAUCCAUGUCCUGAUUACUCUGGGAGCACUGCCACAGCUUAAAGCUUUUUUCUCUACCAUUUUUUUCUCCUCUGUGGCUGAAUAGAAGUCAAAUGGAGAGUGGCUGUGAAAAUGGCCUGAUAACAGACCCAAGUUAGAGGGUUCAGUGGUUCAUUGGAGUAGAUUGAUCACCAAUUGAGGACAGCCGCAGUAACUGCAUCUCUACCUUCUCCUACUGUCUAAAAAUACAGUUAAUAUAUCACAGAUAUAGUCGCUGCUGUCUUGGGCUGGUGCUGUCUGAGUCAGCUAUAAUGAAAUCUUACCUUUAUCCCAUUCUCUAGUCAAUCUCUGCUGUCAGACGUAACACUCCAUCUCUUUUUGAAAGCAUUAAAUUACUAAUUAAAACCAAACUAAUAAGACAAAUUAGCACUUGAAAAAACACUGUGUUGAAAAUACCUAAAAAUUGUCUUUGGAAAAAAUAAAGUCUAUACCCUAUCUGCAAACUUUACUUACUUUAACCAGCUAACCAUACACAGCCAUGUCUUUUCUCACCCACUGGAGAGGAUCUAAGAGGACAAUCUGGUUAAUGAUCCCCUCGCUCAAACCCUCGUUUGUACAGUGGUAGGUGCCCCAAUUCUUAAGUGUGAAUCGCUGCUCAAAAAUAACCUCACCAACCUCCCACCUGCAAAAACCCUGCUUCUUGGGCUCUGUCUGCAACAGCUCUUUAUAGACUUGCAUCACCUGAGCCACCACAGUACAUGACUUCUCAUACCAGUGUAGCCACUCGUGUUCAGAGUCUUACUCUUAUAAGGAAAACAUCUGAAUGAUUGUUGAGCUUUUGUGGAGUUUGCAGCUGGGCCCAAAGUCUCUGAAUGUGUCACAAAAUACACACCAACAAGCGCUAACAGAGAGAAGACUGGGCUUAUGCUCCCUGAUAAAUUACGAUCACUGGUCUUUAGUCACUGAAACCCAGAGUAAUGUUGGGAAAAGCUUCAGGGCUGCGACAGGGACUUGGUCCACAGUGGACAAAAAUCGAAAAGGGACUUAACGUCAACACUUGAUAGGGAGGAAGCUUUGAAUUAUUGAUAUUGAGAAACGGUGGCUGUGCACGGCACUUGAGCACAUUUAGCUUCUUUUAGAAAGCUGUGAAUCAGAGACUGUUGCCUCACACACACAUCCACACGCUGAAAAACACCACUGUCCAGUCACUCCAUGUGGCAACAGUAUUGUUAACCAGACAUGCAGAUUCUCAGACCAUCGAUCAUUGAUGCAGCAGCUCAGUAAAUGAUCCAAUCCAUCACUGAUGUGGACUGGAACAUGUCUGGAACAUGCAUAUCCUGAUGAGUAUUUUCUUUUCUACACUCAUUUAAAAGCUGAAGUUGUUAAGCAUGGACUGUUCUCGUCGUCAGUCUGAAUCAGGAUGGUUAUGUCUGUAAAUAUUUAUUUCUUGCUGGGGAAGUAGUGAAGGAUAGUUUUUUUUUUUUUCAUUUUAUCCAAACAGACAAAAUGCAGUAUAGUCUUUUCAUUAAAGAAAAGAAAGAGCAGCGUUAUCAUGAUGACAGAGUGGGAUAUGUACAGAACAUGGGAGAUGACACUAAAGGGCUCAAACACAAGAUUUUCCUCCACUCUUUUCUUGUCUAUCCUUCACUGUUGCCGUUUGCCGUACUUGAUAGUGUUGUAAUGAUUACAGCCUAUGACGAACGGCAUCUGUAUGAUCAUGAGAAAUCAAUAUAUCACUAUAUUAUCAAAAGGGUUCUUGUCAGCUACGUUUACGACUUUGUAUGGCAUCUUUAUGCGCAAUGUUUUUCACCACUACGGAGCUGUCUACUUAUGCACACAGAGACAGAGGAGAUGCAGUGUUUGUUGUCCAGUGACGCUCUAACAUCUGUUUAAAAAGGGUUUUUGCUCCUAUGAUGUGCUUUAUAUGUAUAAUUUUGACCACAUACCUAUAUUAAAUAUACCUGCUGUUAGCAUCACGGGAUGGAUAUCAAUUACAGUGGAUGUGAAACACAUUCUGGUUGUUGACCUCUGCUAUUAGCCGGAGUCAGAAGAAUCAAUAAGCUAUUUGCGAUAUGACUACUAUUCAUUAGCGAGCAUAUCCUUUUAUAGAAUAACUCAUUGAUUAACUCAUUUUGGUGUUAAUCAUGCAUUACAUGCAAAGUUAUAUGAAAUCCAAUUUUCUAUUUUUGAUGUCCAGACCAGUUUGUGGUAUUUAUGCAUAUGUGUAUAUGGCCCCAACACUGCAUUUAUGCGUGACUAGUAAAGCAUAUUUUCUAAGAUAUAGAGUCCAUCUCCCACUAUUGUUUGCACAGUAGCUUAAAUAUGCACCGUGAUGCCCCAUCGUCCUUUUACUGUUUACUGAAUUUAUAAUUUGUGAGAACUAUGUUAUGAAAAAGCUGUAUUUUGGUACUAUUCAAAUAUUGUUAGAAAAAGAGGUAUAGCAGAUGUUUUGUCCAAGACAUAUAUUACCAUAGUGUUGCUAUGAAUUAGUCAGUUUUUCUUAUUUUUGGGGAGGGAUGACAGGGAUAUUUUUGUUCUUCUUUUGUUGUUGAUUUGCAAUCUGACAGUAAUAUCACCAUUGUUCUAUAUACGACUUUCUU
This is a non-coding RNA of Paralichthys olivaceus (Japanese flounder), 5835 nucleotides long. Lineage: Eukaryota; Metazoa; Chordata; Actinopteri; Pleuronectiformes; Paralichthyidae. The record is from RefSeq and is a predicted model, not a curated record.